This 465-nucleotide ribosomal RNA is filed under the name uncultured bacterium. RNAcentral's name for it is "partial 16S ribosomal RNA". It matches the Rfam family "Bacterial small subunit ribosomal RNA", at positions 28 to 507 of the family's 1533-position model. The record is from RNAcentral.
GACGAACGCUGGCGGCGUGCUUAACACAUGCAAGUCGAACGGAAAGGCCCUGCUCGCAGGGUACUCGAGUGGCGAACGGGUGAGUAACACGUGGGUGAUCUGCCCUGCACUUCGGGAUAAGCCUGGUAAACUGGGUCUAAUACCGGAUAGGAGCCAUUUUUAGUGUGAUGGUUGGAAAGUUUUUUCGGUGUAGGAUGAGCUCGCGGCCUAUCAGCUUGUUGGUGGGGUAAUGGCCUACCGAGGCGGCGACGGGUAGCCGGCCUGAGAGGGUGGACGGCCACACAGGGACUGAGAGACGGCCCAGACUCCGACGGGUGGCAGCAGGGGGGAAGAUUGCACGAGGAGCGCAAGCCUGAUGCAGCGACGCCGCGUGGGGGAUGACGGUCUUCGGGUUGUAAACUCCUUUCGCUAGGGACGAAGCUUUUUGUGACGGUACCUAGAUAAGAAGCACCGGCUAACUACGUG